CACGUAGGGUGCGAGCGUUGUCCGGAAUUAUUGGGCGUAAAGAGCUCGUAGGCGGUGUGUCGCGUCGGCCGUGAAAACCUGCAGCUUAACUGUGGGCUUGCGGUCGAUACGGGCAUCACUGGAGUUCGGCAGGGGAGACUGGAAUUCCUGGUGUAGCGGUGAAAUGCGCAGAUAUCAGGAGGAACACCGAUGGCGAAGGCGGCAUCCUGGACCAUAACUGACGCUGAGGCGCGAAAGCUAGGGGAGCAAACGGG
Molecule: ribosomal RNA, 254 nt
Filed under: uncultured bacterium
Lineage: Bacteria
Description: partial 16S ribosomal RNA
Rfam family: Bacterial small subunit ribosomal RNA
Source: RNAcentral